This is a long non-coding RNA of Bicyclus anynana (squinting bush brown), 6230 nucleotides long. RefSeq lists it as uncharacterized. Lineage: Eukaryota; Metazoa; Arthropoda; Insecta; Lepidoptera; Nymphalidae. The record is from RefSeq and is a predicted model, not a curated record. The transcript has 7 exons.
UUCUCACAGUAAUGGUUUUGUUUAAAAUCGACGCCUGCGAGACAGAGAUACGGGAGGCAUGGUGGUGUGAGGGAGAGGAAAGAUGAAAGUGCAUACGUUCCCGCCAAGAGAAAAGUGAUUCAGAAAUUGAGUCGAGAUGUAGUUUACUCACUGUCAACAGUUUGUGUUGUGGUGUCUGCGAGCGAGGAUUUGAAUUUGGAAUAGUGUGAAAUUCAAAAAAAUAACGUUUAUCAAAGUGUAAAUAACUAAUCGUUUGAUAUUAAAAGUACCCGCAAAUAUUUUAUAUCACCAACAAAGCGAUUGAAUGUAUGUGAAGGUCAAGUGACAAAUUAAACAUUCGAGAACAAAGAUAUAAUAAAUGACGUUACAAUUUAUUAGUGUCACCUUACGUUUGGUUAACGAAUCACUUUGAAGACGGAAACAAGAAAAUUUUCUAGAAACUUUGAAGGCUUUCACGGAUACUAUGUUUUCGAGAUUUUCCUAAAGAUGGCGCUGUGGUACUGCGAAAAAACAUAAUUUGAACACGUUAUUGAAUCGCAAUGGAAAAUACGAUGUGGCUACGAACUGAGGUCAAGCUCAUUAAAACUUUAAGGGACAUCGUGCAAGAGCUUUUGCGAAAGAGGGACGGACAAUAAACUGUUCAUAAAUCUAAAUUGCUCUUAGCUUCAUGAAAUCGGGGCUCUCGGACCGAAGAUAACUUUAACUGCGAGUAUGAAUUUGAAUUGAAAUGGCGUCUGAUAAGAUUAUAUGUUUAUUUGCCCAUACUAGUGAUUAUCGUCGUCAAUUACAGAGCUUCAACUUCCAAAAAACUCUCUUUAUAUGUAUACAGAUUGCAAAUAAUUAAUAAUAAUGCAAAGAAGCAAAAAAAGGAGGAGAGCGAGGAGGACGCUAAAGAAAACGCUAGAGAAAAGCAAAUGGCGCCGCAUGACUGGAAAUUCCAAGUACAAGAUGAAGAGAUAACUAGAUACUAAGACUUCUUUCGAAGAAAAUCAGAAGUAUAAGACCUGAGCAGCAGUAGAUAACGCUUACGUGAUGCUGGUGCCGGGCGCUUUCCUGUGUCCUGACUGCGUUUUAGGCCCAGGGGAAAACACGCCGAUAUGAAUACUUGCCGAUGCAGAAAAACAUUUCAGAGAUGCAGCAGCAGUGGAGAAACACGGUGAAAGAAGAGCGAAGAUUGAAGACUGAAGAUAAAAGAAGACUGAAGAUAAAAGAAGAAUACUUGGCACAUUCGUGAUCUACCCUGUAGAUCCGGGCUUUUGUAGCGUUGUUUACAUCAGAAGCUCGUCUCUACAGGUAUCUCACGGCUGGAAGACCUCGCUACUUUAAACAACGCCAGAAAAGAGAAGAUUACUUUUGAGAGGAAGAGUAGCUUAAAGUUAUUACUAAUGGAAAUAGACAUCGUCCGGCAAAUUAAAAAGAAAAAUCGGAGGGCAUUCCCCUAAAUUAUAGUGUUAUAGUGUAAAUUUUGGAAGAAUCAGUUUGAUACAUCUAAUAUUUUUUUAAAUAUCAGGUAUGUUUACACGUGCGUAUUUUAAACAAAAAUUUGUAGAUUUCUUUUUAUUUGCUGGGCGAUUUCAAUAGCCAAAUCAUAGUAUUUUUUCUAUUAGUGAGUAAAGAAAUUAAAAAGUUUUAAAACUGUAACUCUACAUAUAAACCAAUAAUUUUUAACAAGGUUUUAGUCAGUUUCACGUAAAUAUUAUCGUAAGGCCCAGGAACAAAACAUUUAUUCGUGUUCUCAAACUUUGCUUGUUUGUUUGUUUGUUACUUUCCGACCUUUGACCGCCUUAAUCCAGCCUUCUCACAAAAUUCGUUCUUAGUGGACCUCUACUAUCUAAACUAAGUCUCUUCCAAAUUUCAUCUUUGUACAUCAAGCAGUUUAUGAGAUUUCGUGAUUAUCGCAUUUAUAUAUUAAGGUUACACAAGACAAUGUAUAAGGUACAAAGGCGAAAUAUAAUGCCUUGUAAUAUUUUCUACCAGUUUUAUUUGUGUAUGUGAUAUUCAUGUGGAGGGGCAUUUUCAUUCCAAACCAUCGUCCAGACUUGCAUCCAACCACUUAUUUGCCAUCUGAAAAUUGACUACUUAUUUUUAAAUAUAUUUCUUGCUCUUUUCAUGCAAUAGAGAAAGAAAUAUAAUCUGGCUCUAAGCUUAAAUAAUUUUCAUCUUAUAAAAACACCAACUACCAACCCUAUAAAUAACUUAAAUCCGUUAUUAAUUCUUCAUCAUAAUCAUUACCAUUAUCAUCAUUAACAGGCGAUGGACGUCCACUGUCGGACAUAGGCCUCUUGUAUGGACUUCCAAAUAAAACGGUCUCGAGCCACCAGCAUCCAACGGCUCCCUGCAACCCGUUUGAUAUCCUCGUUCCAACACUGCGCUCCCCGGUGCGAGGUCGCCAUUCUAGCAUCUUGGGACUUCAACUUCCAUCGGCUCUUUGAACUGUAUGCCCUACCCAUUGCCACUUCAGCUUCGUCAUUGGCAACCUCACUAUUGAGCACAAGUUUCCUCUCAGAAUGAGAGGGGAAAAUUCUCAGGUAUGCAGGUUUCCUCAAGAUGUUUUUCCUUCAGCAUUUGAGAAACGUGAUAUAUUUUUUUUAAUGCAUAUAACUGAAAAGUUAAGAGGUGCAUGCGUCGUACAGGCGACUGUCCCAGAUACAUGCUAUCUGAAAAAUGAUUUUAACAAUAAAAUAUUGCACAAACUUAAGUACUGAAGUUGUAUUUUUUGGUGCCGCUACUCAAAACAAAGUUUGAACAUUAUGCUCACAAAUUAUUAUUUUGUUCUUGGGCUACUAAAACAUUCUUACCGUAUUUUUCUUGUUAUUACCGUAUGCUAUGCAUAUUUUUUAUUCUGUUUGACGAUAUUUUCAUCAAUGUCAAUGUCAAAUUAGGUAGAUUGUUCAAAUUACUUAUGCGGGUUAGGUACGUACAGUCGGUUACAGUUUUAGAAACCUGUUAUUCUUAAUUAUUAUAUAUAAAAUGUCCUAUUUGUCGGUUAUUCUUCUGUUUAGCUGGCCUAUUUCCUAUUUUGGUUUUUAUUAUCAACCCAUCAAAAUAAAAAACAAAUCAAUUGACAAAAUGUCAUCCACAUAAAUUACUUAGUAUCUGUCAACUUUAUCACAGCACAACAAAACACAACAUAUCAAGCACAGAAAAUUCGUAAAUUAUAAAUAUAAUACGAAUCCGGGUGUUGUUAAAUCUGCCAUUAGAUGGCGUUAGUGUGUUCGUUUAGUAUUAAACGCUGAAAUGGCUGAUGCUUUAAUUUUCGCUCCUUUGUUUAUCAAACACAGAAAAUUCGUAAAUUAUAAAUAUAAUACGAAAACUGGAGUUGUUAAAUCUGCCAUUAGAUGGCGUUAGUGUGUUAAGUUUAGUAUUAAACGCUAAAAUUACUGAUACUUAAAUUAUCGCUCCUUCGUUUAUCUUAAUAUUAUUUUAUUUUACAUUAGGUACUUUUUAAAAUUGGCUUUCUGUCGUUUGGUCCAGUCAAUAUAAUUAAAUGUUCCAUUUAUGUCACAUCGGGUUUCUUUGUAUAAUAGGAAUGGAUGAAAACCUUUUGAUAAAAGAGAAGAAGUUUUGUUUUUUUAUAAAGUAUAAAGUUCGUGCUCUUACAAACUUUAGCGUUCAUAGUAUUAGUGGGUUUAAUGUGUUAUUGUGAUAGCUCCAUGCAAUUUUAUUUUGGCAACAUUUAUUUUAUUCCUAAUUUUCUUUUUCUCACACAAACUGUCAUUUCUUAACCCAUAGGAACUCUGACGUCUUCUGGGAUAAAAGUAUUCAAAUAUUAUUCCAAUUUAGCAAACACCUGCAACUUCGUUAGAAAUGUCCCAAGAUCCGUUAAUACAUCCAUGCAUCCAUACAAACUUUUGUGUUUGAAAUAUUAGUGGGAUUACAAAGGUCUGGCAAUUUCAGCUAUUUAUGUUGUGUUGUUGUUUACAGAAAUUGUAGCAAUAUAUUAAUCGUUUUGAUCAAAAGUUCGCUUUGUAUCUAUGUAUGGGACCACCUACACCUGUUUUAACUAUUAUUUAUUUUAAGUUUAUAUCAAUGUUAUAUUUUGUAUGGCAGGCAGUAGUUAUUUAGUUUUAAUAAGAUUUUUUAAAAUUUCUAUAUACAUAUGGAUUAUUAUGCCUUAUUUAACUCACGUGGUAUAUCAUUGGUGAUGUCGUGUGUGGUGACACACGAUAUCGCUCUUGUCGUGUAAUAAUAAAACACAUAAGCUGUUUCAUAAUAUAAUGUUUUGCAAACACAGAGUAACCAGAGAGAGUUUUUACAAACUGCGUGCUGAAGCCGGUGUAAUCCAUAAAAAGAAACAAAAGUUACGCGUCUCAUUGACAUCCGCUUAUACAAACUUUUUUCAUAAUAUGCAUUUCAAAAUUUAACACUAAAAACAAUUACUUAAAAUAAUAUAAUAACCAAUAAAAAAUACUCUAUAUUGUUUCUUUAGUUUUUGUGUUUUUUAAAAAUACAGUUUUUAAAAUAUUAAAAAACGUACGACGCCAUUUUUCUUGAAUAAUAUUGAAAAUUACUGAUGCGACGGUUCGUAUCGUACUGACAAGAAAACGUAUUCGUUUUUGAAUUUUGUAUCCGUGACGGGUACGACACCGUCUCGUUCCGUACGCUACAUCUGUACAAUAUUGAUUAUUCUGUGUUUGCAAAAUGGCGACCGACCUGACUUGACCGCGACGUUAGUUCCAGUUUUGGCCACCGGGUCCGAAAGUUUGUGGCGCUAUAGACGUAGCGUUAUUUUAAGUAAGUACAUUUUUAAACUUAGUAAAGCUUUUUAUAAAAAAAGCUUGUCCGGAAAUGUGUGCUUAUUUCUGCUACCAUCGCGUAACGCUGUUCCAAUCUGAUUGAUAUUUGUGCCAAAACAGGCACUUACGGCACUACUACGCCCCAGGUAUGGCCACAGGGCGGCAUUUUGUACUACGUGUUCUUACGAAGUGUUGUUUUGCUUACAAUUUUCCAUUUACCAUGAGCUUAGCUAUCUGCUUGGUCCGUCGUUUGUAACUUUAAAAAUAAAUAUUAUGUUUUUGAAAAAUAAAUAUUAACUUUAUAAACUGAAUUAUUAUAUUAUCAUAAUAAAGUGUUAAAGGGAAUUACUUGAAACAAUUUUUUUCUGUGAAAAUCACACUAAUCCAGGCUACAGACCUGCAAUUCAAACUGUGCAGUCUUAACUGUACAGUCGAACUGUUCAUUUAAAACAACCGCGUGUAGGCAAAACGGAGAACUGUACAGUUAUUAGUUAACUGUUUUUUUACGAUUUAGAUUGAAAUUUCGAUAAAAUAAAAAUGUAAGGUCUGUAGCCUGGAUAUAAAACUCUAUUACAGCCUUUCUUGAGCCUUUCUUUCUUUCUUUACCAACAAACAAAUUGAAAAUGAGGGUAUAAAUAAAUCACUAGUCAUUUCACACUUAAUAAUUAUUAUAAUUAACUUGUUCUUAAAUAUUAUGACAAUAAAUUUGAUUAAUAAGCUUGGAACAAUAAGAUGUGGUUAAUGUAUUUUAUAUAACAUUUUAUAAACAAACCAUACAUAAUUUUAAAUAAAUAAGUUAUGAAAUGACUUGCGUUUUCCAUCUUCAUUUCUAAUUUCUUUGUUGGUAAACAGUAUUCAUCAAGAAAGGCUAUAGUAGUAUAGUAGUUUAUAGAUUAUUCUCUACUUGACUCAUUGUUAUUUUUAACCGACUUAAAAAAGGAGGAGAUUUUCAAUUCGACGCGUAUGUUUUAUUUUUUUAAUGUUCCUUAUAACUUAGUAAUUUAUUUGAAAUAUUUUGGUUUGAAAGAAUAUAAUUUCAGAUUGGUCUCAUUAUUUCGUUUUCAUGAAAUUCGUUUUAGUAAUUUUGUGUUAAAAUCUAAAUAACUGAAAUAGGUCUUUGAAGUCGGUUCCAUUUUUAUGUUAAAAAUAUUAUUUUAUUUAACGCAACACCCGUUUACCAUUGUUAUUGUAAUUGAUUAUUUUAAUGAUGAAUUUAUGUUAUUUAAAUAACCAACAGAAACUUACUGUAAAAGUUAAGUCUCUUUUAUCAUUGAUUCAAGUUCUGUCUGCUGUACUACUUUAACUUUUAUUGUUAACUUGUUUUAAAUGUAAUAAACAUUUUAAGUACGUCUGUAAUUUGACCAAUUGUUCUUCAGUUCUUAACUGAAAUAGAUAAAUGACUUCCACGGCCCACAGUUAAAUUUUGUCCACGUUGUGAAAUUCAAUUAGGGGCAGUAUUUUCAGAAAAAAUAUUUAAUAAAUGGGAAUUGUGUA